RNAcentral lists this unclassified non-coding RNA (400 nucleotides) under Anelosimus eximius. RNAcentral's name for it is "partial contains tRNA-Leu and 16S ribosomal RNA". The stretch from base 57 to 354 matches the Rfam family "Bacterial large subunit ribosomal RNA", at positions 2074 to 2646 of the family's 2925-position model. Lineage: Eukaryota; Metazoa; Arthropoda; Arachnida; Araneae; Theridiidae. The record is from RNAcentral.
CUUUAUUAAUUUUUUAUAUAUAAUUUAUAUUAAAUAUAAAAAUAUAUUUUUUAAAUAAAAAGACGAUAAGACCCUAUUAAAUUUUACUUAUAGUUUAACUGGGGAAGUUUUAAAAAUAAAAUUUUUUAUAAAAAUAAAAAUAAAUCUAAUAAAAUUAAAAUUAAAUUAAAUUACUAUAGGGAUAACAGCAUUAUAUUUUUUAAAAGUUCAUAUUAAAAAAAAUGAUUGUGACCUCGAUGUUGAAUUAUAUUUUCUUUAUUAAUGCAAUAAUUAUAAAAGUAGAUCUGUUCGAUCUUUAAAAUAUUACAUGAUUUGAGUUCAAACCGGUGUAAACCAGGUUGGUUUCUAUCUUUUUAUAAAUUCAUAUAUAUAUAUAUAUAUAUAUAUAUAUAAAUUUUUC